Molecule: ribosomal RNA, 489 nt
Filed under: uncultured Pseudoclavibacter sp.
Lineage: Bacteria; Bacillati; Actinomycetota; Actinomycetes; Micrococcales; Microbacteriaceae
Description: bacterial SSU rRNA
Rfam family: Bacterial small subunit ribosomal RNA
Source: RNAcentral
AGUAGUUUGAUCCUGGCUACAGGACGAACGCUGGCGGCGUGCUUAACACAUGCAAGUCGAACGAUGAAGCCCAGCUUGCUGGGUGGAUUAGUGGCGAACGGGUGAGUAACACGUGAGCAACGUGCCCAUAACUCUGGGAUAACCUCCGGAAACGGUGGCUAAUACUGGAUAUCUAACACGAUCGCAUGGUCUGUGUUUGGAAAGAUUUUUUGGUUAUGGAUCGGCUCACGGCCUAUCAGCUUGUUGGUGAGGUAAUGGCUCACCAAGGCGACGACGGGUAGCCGGCCUGAGAGGGUGACCGGCCACACUGGGACUGAGACACGGCCCAGACUCCUACGGAAGGCAGCAGUGGGGAAUAUUGCACAAUGGGCGAAAGCCUGAUGCAGCAACGCCGCGUGAGGGAUGACGGCCUUCGGGUUGUAAACCUCUUUUAGUAGGGAAGAAGCGAAAGUGACGGUACCUGCAGAAAAAGCACCGGCUAACUACGUG